CACCACUUGGUGAAAAUUAAGUCGUAAAGAGCAAAGUUUAGUAGUUUAUUAUCGAACAACUUUGAGACUAAUAAGAAA
This 78-nucleotide non-coding RNA is filed under the name unclassified sequences. RNAcentral's name for it is "RT-18 RNA". It matches the Rfam family "RT-18 RNA". Rfam says of the family: Clostridiales (Firmicutes). The record is from Rfam by way of RNAcentral.